UACGUAGGUGGCAAGCGUUGUCCGGAAUUAUUGGGCGUAAAGGGUGCGUAGGUGGCUCUUUAAGUGGGAUGUGAAAGCCCUUGGCUUAACCAAGGAACGGCAUUCCAAACUGGAGAGCUAGAGUGCAGGAGAGGAAAGUGGAAUUCCUAGUGUAGCGGUGAAAUGCGUAGAGAUUAGGAGGAACACCAGUGGCGAAGGCGACUUUCUGGACUGUAACUGACACUGAGGCACGAAAGCGUGGGGAGCAAACAGG
RNAcentral lists this ribosomal RNA (253 nucleotides) under uncultured bacterium. RNAcentral's name for it is "partial 16S ribosomal RNA". It matches the Rfam family "Bacterial small subunit ribosomal RNA", at positions 524 to 776 of the family's 1533-position model. The record is from RNAcentral.